UUACGGAAGGCAGCAGUAGGGAAUCUUCCGCAAUGGACGAAAGUCUGACGGAGCAACGCCGCGUGAGUGAUGAAGGUUUUCGGAUCGUAAAACUCUGUUGUCAGGGAAGAACAAGUGCCGGAGUAACUGCCGGCGCCUUGACGGUACCUGACCAGAAAGCCACGGCUAACUACGUGCCAGCAGCCGCGGUAAUACGUAGGUGGCAAGCGUUGUCCGGAAUUAUUGGGCGUAAAGCGCGCGCAGGCGGUUUCUUAAGUCUGAUGUGAAAGCCCCCGGCUCAACCGGGGAGGGUCAUUGGAAACUGGGAAACUUGAGUGCAGAAGAGGAGAGUGGAAUUCCACGUGUAGCGGUGAAAUGCGUAGAGAUGUGGAGGAACACCAGUGGCGAAGGCGACUCUCUGGUCUGUAACUGACGCUGAGGCGCGAAAGCGUGGGGAGCGAACAGGAUUAGAUACCCCGGUAGG
This 463-nucleotide ribosomal RNA is filed under the name uncultured bacterium. RNAcentral's name for it is "bacterial SSU rRNA". It matches the Rfam family "Bacterial small subunit ribosomal RNA", at positions 339 to 794 of the family's 1533-position model. The record is from RNAcentral.